RNAcentral lists this ribosomal RNA (224 nucleotides) under uncultured bacterium. RNAcentral describes it as "partial 16S ribosomal RNA". It matches the Rfam family "Bacterial small subunit ribosomal RNA", at positions 328 to 539 of the family's 1533-position model. The record is from RNAcentral.
ACGCUCGACACCUACUGGAGGCAGCAGUAGGGAAUCUUCCGCAAUGGACGAAAGUCUGACGGAGCAACGCCGCGUGAACGAUGAAGGUUUUCGGAUCGUAAAGUUCUGUUGUUAGGGAAGAACAAACUUCGUUUGAAUAAGGCGGAGUCAUGACGGUACCUAACGAGAAAGCCACGGCUAACUACGUGCCUGCAGCCGCGGUAAUCUGAGCGGGCUGGCAAGGC